GUGAGGAAUAUUGCGCAAUGGAGGCAACUCUGACGCAGCCAUGCCGCGUGCAGGAAGAAGGCGCUACGCGUUGUAAACUGCUUAUAACCGGGAAGAAACCCCAGGACGUGUCCUGGGUUGACGGUACCGGAGGAAUAAGCACCGGCUAACUUCGUGCCAGCAGCCGCGGUAAUACGAAGGGUGCAAGCGUUAUCCGGAUUCAUUGGGUUUAAAGGGUGCGUAGGCGGAGCGUUAAGUCAGUGGUGAAAUCCUGCAGCUUAACUGUAGACUUGCCAUUGAUACUGGCGCUCUUGAGUGCGCUUGAAGUGGGCGGAAUGUGCCGUGUAGCGGUGAAAUGCUUAGAUAUGGCACAGAACACCAAUUGCGAAGGCAGCUCACUAAGGCGAUACUGACGCUGAGGCACGAAAGCGUGGGGAUCGAACAGGAUUAGAUACCCGUGUAGUCC
This 445-nucleotide ribosomal RNA is filed under the name uncultured bacterium. RNAcentral's name for it is "bacterial SSU rRNA". It matches the Rfam family "Bacterial small subunit ribosomal RNA", at positions 354 to 796 of the family's 1533-position model. The record is from RNAcentral.